AGCAAUUCUGUGCUUUGGAACUUCGGCAAUUCAGCUAUUCGGACAUUCGGAAGCAUCCGAAUUUCCCGAAAUUCGUCCAAACUGACAUUCGGAACGAAACGAAUUGCACAUGUCUAAUUGGUAUCUAACAUUGCAGUGAUUUGUGUUUGUUAUUUAAUUUCUGUUAACAAAUAGCCCACACCCAGUGGCAUCAUAAUUUAAGUGUGUUAGGCAUUAGACAUAGCCUGUUAG
Molecule: non-coding RNA, 231 nt
Organism: Pelobates cultripes (western spadefoot toad)
Lineage: Eukaryota; Metazoa; Chordata; Amphibia; Anura; Pelobatidae
Source: the annotation of a GenBank genome assembly